Molecule: unclassified non-coding RNA, 186 nt
Filed under: plant metagenome
Description: partial contains small subunit ribosomal RNA and internal transcribed spacer 1
Source: RNAcentral
AGUCGUAACAAGGUCUCCGUUGGUGAACCUGCGGAAGGAUCAUUACCUAGAGUUGUAGGCUUUGCCUACCAUCUCUUACCCAUGCCUUUUGAGUACCUUCGUUUCCUCGGCGGGUCCGCCCGCCGAUUGGACAAACUUAAACCCUUUGUAAUUGAAUCCAGCGUCUGAAAAACAUAAUAGUUACAA